Molecule: ribosomal RNA, 450 nt
Filed under: uncultured bacterium
Lineage: Bacteria
Description: partial 16S ribosomal RNA
Rfam family: Bacterial small subunit ribosomal RNA
Source: RNAcentral
AGCGAACGCUGGCGGCAGGCCUAACACAUGCAAGUCGAACGAUCCUUCGGGAUAGUGGCGGACGGGUGAGUAACACGUGGGAACGUACCUUUAGGUUCGGGAUAACUCAGGGAAACUUGAGCUAAUACCGGAUAAGCCCUUUUGGGGAAAGAUUUAUCGCCUUUAGAGCGGCCCGCGUUAGAUUAGCUAGUUGGUGGGGUAAAGGCCCACCAAGGCUCCGAUCUAUAGCUGGUCUGAGAGGAUGAUCAGCCACACUGGGACUGAGACACGGCCCAGACUCCUACGGGAGGCAGCAGUGGGGAAUCUUGCGCAAUGGGCGAAAGCCUGACGGAGCGACACCGCGUGGAGGAUGAAGCCCUUUCCGGGCGUAAACUCCUGUUCUGAGGGACGAAAUUUUGACGGUACCUCAGGAGAAAGCAUCGGCUAACCCUGUGCCAGCCGCCGCCGUAA